Molecule: long non-coding RNA, 924 nt
Filed under: Zostera marina
Lineage: Eukaryota; Viridiplantae; Streptophyta; Magnoliopsida; Alismatales; Zosteraceae
Description: long non-coding RNA (ZMAR_LNC001980)
Source: RNAcentral
AUCGAUUUCCCCCAAUCUCUCCUCCUCCCAACUCGUAUGACCCAUCCACCUCACGAUUUCUCCCUCCGUUGCUUUCUAUAUAAGUUGUUUUCUAGUACACCAAGAGUCCAAGAUCGAUAACAUACCCCCAACAUAUUAACUACCAUCUUCAGGACCUUCUUUGGUGUGUUUGUCUGCCCUCACAGCCUAGGUCUGAAGGUUUCUCCCCCUCCCUUUUCAAAUUUGAUCCCUUUGUCAUGGAAACUGGAGCUGUUAUAACAAAUGUUCAACAAAAAGUAAGGAAAACUUCAUAUGUUUUUUUUUAUUAUUAAUUAUUGAUCUUAUAAUUUUCAGAGUAAUUGGAAAGAAAAUUCCAAGACACAACGAUGAUAUACAUAUUCAUGGAUCUAAUUUUAUGGAAUCAUAUACACUGACCAAACACAACCACAGUAUGUGCACAACCUUGUUUGGUCAAUCUAUCCCACCUAAAUAUCAGAUGUUCCUUGUUAAGGAGUCAAGGAGAGCUUCUUGCUUUCAUUAUUAUGUGACUUGGAUUCAAUCUGCUGCAUUAUUAUGCUCAGAAUAAAGUGGCAAACUACGAGUCUUUGGUAUAAAGUUUUCCCACCUAAUCCUCCAUAAUCAUAGAGAUAAUUUGUGAAAACCAUUUUCUCACAUUAUCAAAGAAGUGUUUUUCCCUUGAGAGUUCCCAUGCUGUUUUUUGAUGCAGUUUCCAUGCUGUUUUGAAUGAUGAGAAAUCAUCUCAUUUCAGAUCUUCAAUGCAUGUUUUUAUUUCAUACAUAAUUUUAUAUAUAAAAACACUUAAACUAUAGACAACGAAGUUAUUUUAAAAAUAUUUAAUGAUAUGUGUCCUCGUCGUAGGACAUUGAAGUAAUGUAAAAUGUAUUUGAAAUUUUAUUGUUAAUUAAAUGAAUGUAUUUAUUUUUA